This 773-nucleotide ribosomal RNA is filed under the name uncultured Neocallimastigales. Its description in RNAcentral is "partial large subunit ribosomal RNA". It matches the Rfam family "Eukaryotic large subunit ribosomal RNA", at positions 26 to 629 of the family's 3401-position model. The record is from RNAcentral. Lineage: Eukaryota; Fungi; Neocallimastigomycota; Neocallimastigomycetes; Neocallimastigales.
CGCAUCUGUGCAUGCAGCAUAUCAAUAAGCGGAGGAAAGGAAACUAACAAGGAUUCCCCUAGUAACGGCGAGUGAAGCGGGAAGAGCUCAAAUUUGAAAUCUUCAAGGUUUUACCUUGACGAAUUGUAGUUUAAAGAAGUGUUUUCUGUUGAAGUUUUGGUAAAAGUUCUUUGGAAUAGGACAUCAUAGAGGGUGAGAAUCCCGUAUUUGACCAUUAUUUUCAGCUGUGUGAUACACUUUCAAAGAGUCGGAUUGUUUGGGAAUGCAGUCCAAAAUGGGUGGUAAAUUUCAUCUAAAGCUAAAUAUUGGCGAGAGACCGAUAGCGAACAAGUACCGUGAGGGAAAGAUGAAAAGAACUUUGAAAAGAGAGUUAAACAGUACGUGAAACUGUCAAAAGGGAAGCGUUUGACACCAGUGUUGUUUUCUCGAAAAUCAAUUAAAAAGAGUUUGAUUUUGUUGUGUAUUGACCUUAACAGCUUGCAUUUCAAUUUUCUUGCUUUUUUAAUGCACUUUUCGUUUAACAAGUCAACAUCAGUUUCUUUUGUUGUAAAAAGGUCAUUGGAAGGUGGCUUUCUUUUCGGAGAAAGUGUUUAUAGCCUUUGACUCCUGCAAUCGGAGAGACUGAGGUCUGCAGCGUAGAUCCUUCGGGGUUAGAUACAUUUGUGCUAAGUUAUAGCUUUUUAUAGACAACUUGUUGACUAUGAUUAGUCUUGUAGCUUACUCGCUUAUGCUAUUUUACCUACGCUUAGGAUGUUGAUGUGAUACUGCGAGCA